This is a long non-coding RNA of Saccostrea cuccullata (small rock oyster), 2233 nucleotides long. RefSeq lists it as uncharacterized. Lineage: Eukaryota; Metazoa; Mollusca; Bivalvia; Ostreida; Ostreidae. The record is from RefSeq and is a predicted model, not a curated record. The transcript has 3 exons.
CCUUUACUGCAUACAUGUGCACAUUUUUAGUUGAUGCAUCUAAAAGAUAUAGUUUUGAUUCGGUGUUUCUUUGUUUUCUUUUUAUUCAAAUAAUUUUAAAAUGUGAUGAUGUACACAACAAUAAAUAGUACCUAGUUUAGAGGAUUUUUUCGCGCUUGUUUGUAAACAACGCGCGGCAUUGUGGGAAAUAGGAAGGUACUAAAGACGCGAUGUACUAAACACUUAUUUGACCUGAUUCAAAUUUGUCUGUAAAUGUUCCAAACAAUUGAAUUUUUGUAUAGCAUAUGCCUCGAAGUCAUAAAGUCUGUACAUAAGUAAUUUAAAAUACUCAAUAUUACCAUUUAAUUAAAAAUUAAAACGUCAGGUAAAUAUCAGGUCUCUAGUAUAUCCCGUUUUUAGUGUGCCCCUUCGAGUCGACGUCGGACACAUGUUUGUCAUGGUUUACAAACUGAAAAUAGAAUGAUUUGUGAAGUUGAACAUUUUCUCACAAAGAAUCCGUUUGUAGACAUGCACACUCAUUUAAUCUGGAGCUACGAAGUACUUUGUCACUUCUCUGGAACAUUAUUCUAAGCAGAAUUAUCCCGAUUCAUAUAUUCUAAGAAUCUUGUGUGAAUUGUUUACGAGGAAAUUCUGACUGUCACAUUAACAAGGAUGAACACUCUUGACUCUGCUUCGGAUUCCCCAGUGAUAAUUGUAUCGAGUGAUGAAAGAGCUGACGGCGACAUUUUAAUGUAUGAUUGGCUUGGACCAUUGGAAUGAAGUCAUUUCAUGGUGCCACCACUUGGGAUGGUAUUAGCUGCAAAUAUAGACUUGUACUCAGCACUUAUUGCCUUUAAGAAGUAUGAGAUCCAUUUUGUGCUAACACCUACCGUGACACAGAAUCUUGGUUUAUGCAGUCUCAUAGGAGUAACCUGUCUAAAGCAUUUAGCAAUGGGAUUGGAACCUGCGACGUGUGACUCAUCUGAAGACUGAAUUUUGAUACCAAGCAUGACCAUGAUUUGCCAGAAGAUCAUCUGUUUGGAUGUGACAUGGAAUAAACAGCAUAGUGAAAAUAAGUCAAGUUUUGGUUUGUGAAGACAAUUUUUAAACACACUGUGUAUCAUUUUUAAAUUUUGAUUUGACAACAUAAAUCCACAAAUAUGAACAUAUCAAUUGCUCUCAGUUUUUCAAGUGAAAUAGUUUUUGUAACAGAAAUACAUGUACCAGUAAUUACAUUGGAAUAAAUGUUAUUUUUAAAUAUAAUAAUAUUUUGUUUGUGUAGCAUGUUGACCUCUUUAUUAAGGUCUUCCCUUUCAAAGUUUAGACUUACUUAUUCUAAUGAUUAAGAUAGAUCCUCUGUCUUCAGCAGGAAUAGAAGAUCUUGUAAUACAUGUAUGUGUAUUUUUUACAGUAUAACGUAAAAAAAAUUGUUAUUUUGGCACAUACAACUAAUUAAAGGCAUAAACAUGUGUAUGAUUCCAAGGAAUUCAGUACAUAGGGCAUGUACAUGUAGUUUUCUAAAACAAGAUUGAAGAGAUGUCCAGUCGCAUUUCAAUGUCAACUGCAAAACUGUGCCUGUUGCAUAUUUAUUAGCCCAUCUGAGCUAAAGGAACCAGUAAAUUUUUUAAAAACAUAAUUUUAUCCAUUAUCAUCAUUGUCUAAAAUUUCACAAUAUCAUUUUCCAGAACCAAAGUGAAACUUGGCACAGAGCAUCCUUAGUGUAGGGGAUUCAAAUUGUUCUUAUGCAGGGCAAUACCUUCAAAGAGAUUUGUUUCUUUAAUGCUGUAAAUGUAUUAUAUUUAGCUUGUACAAUAUUUGGUGGAAAUUGACUUUUGAAUAAGUUAGCGUAGAUAUUCUUAUUUAUGUUUAUGUACAAGACUUUUAGCUUUGUACUUGAUUUAGUGAUUGCUGCAUUCCGCCAAAGCCGCUAAAAAGAAUACACAGCCAUAUGUAAUAUGUUUACAAUAUACCUUUCAGAGAAUUUUACACUCCUAUUGAGGUACCACCAGUUGCUAGUGGAAAGCUUCAAAUUCGAAACAUACACAACACAUUUCUGUGCGUUUAUUAUAAAAGUAUUGUUCUACUUACUGAUUGCAACUAAUGAAGAUUGUUCAUCAUUAUUGUAAAUACAUUUGGAUUUUUUGAAUUAUUAUAUAAUUUGUUUAUUUUAUUUACCUAGUUAUAUUGUAUAUUAAAUGAUUUUAAAGCCAUUUUUAAGAUGGUAAUGUAGCAAAACACUUAUGUUUCUGUAGUA